This 303-nucleotide ribosomal RNA is filed under the name uncultured bacterium. Its description in RNAcentral is "partial 16S ribosomal RNA". It matches the Rfam family "Bacterial small subunit ribosomal RNA", at positions 507 to 807 of the family's 1533-position model. The record is from RNAcentral.
AGCAGUCGCCGCGGUAAUACGAAGGGGGCUAGCGUUACUCGGAAUUACUGGGCGUAAAGGGCGCGUAGGCGGCGCUCCAAGUUAGGCGUGAAAGUCCUGGGCUCAACCUGGGAACUGCGCUUAAGACUGGAGUGCUUGAGGAUGGAAGAGGGUUGUGGAAUUCCCAGUGUAGAGGUGAAAUUCGUAGAUAUUGGGAAGAACACCGGUGGCGAAGGCGGCAACCUGGUCCAUUACUGACGCUGAGGCGCGACAGCGUGGGGAGCAAACAGGAUUAGAUACCCCUGUAGUCCCUGUCUCUUAUAC